ACACAUAUAUCCGCCCGGGUACUACGAGCACAGCUUAAAACCCAAAGGACUUGGCGGUGUCUCAGACCCACCUAGAGGAGCCUGUUCUAGAACCGAUAACCCCCGUUAAACCUCACCACUUCUUGUUUUCCCCGCCUAUAUACCGCCGUCGUCAGCUUACCCUGUGAAGGUCUAGUAGUAAGCUAAAUGGGCCCGCCCAAAAACGUCAGGUCGAGGUGUAGCGUACGAAGUGGAAAGAAAUGGGCUACAUUUUCUAUAUAUAGAAUAUUACGAAUAGUACAUUGAAACCAUGUACUUGAAGGUGGAUUUAGUAGUAAAAAGCAAAUAGAGUGUCCCUUUGAACUAGGCUCUGAGACGCGCACACACCGCCCGUCACUCUCCCCAACACCUUAUCUUAACAAUACAUAAUAAAUCAACUAUAAACACGGGGAGGCAAGUCGUAACAUGGUAAGUGUACCGGAAGGUGCACUUGGAAUAAU
This 479-nucleotide ribosomal RNA is filed under the name Mystus gulio (long whiskers catfish). RNAcentral's name for it is "partial 12S ribosomal RNA". It matches the Rfam family "Bacterial small subunit ribosomal RNA", at positions 855 to 1533 of the family's 1533-position model. Lineage: Eukaryota; Metazoa; Chordata; Actinopteri; Siluriformes; Bagridae. The record is from RNAcentral.